Long non-coding RNA from Rosa chinensis, 1663 nucleotides. RefSeq lists it as uncharacterized. NCBI's taxonomy places the organism in Eukaryota, Viridiplantae, Streptophyta, Magnoliopsida, Rosales, Rosaceae. The transcript has 5 exons. The record is from RefSeq and is a predicted model, not a curated record.
CUGGAGGUUGCUGACGAAAGAAGAGAAGGAAACAGCAGGAAAAAGAGAAGAAGGGGGAGAAAGAGAAAAGAAAUAGGAGAGGGAGGAGGAGAAAAGCAAGGGAAUUAGAAAGAAAGGAAGACGGGGGAGAAGGAAGCAGAAUUGUUUAGGAAACAAGGGUGAGGGAAAGAGAGAUUUGUAGCUGUGAGAAACUAAGAAAGGAGAAGAGCAAGUGUUAUCAGGAAGUUUGGGAGAAGAAAAUUCAUUUUUGGGUGUUGUUGUUGUCUUGCGUUUUUGAGAGAGAGAGAGAGAGUGAGAGAGUGAGAGAGAGAGAGAGAGAGAGAGAGAGAGAGUUGGAUAGUUUGGGGUUUGUGUCAAAGGCUGUGACUUGUGUACUUCCGAUUCUGAGAAGGAUUCGAUUUUUGUUUCAGAAGUGAAAAGCUUUCUUUUGAGUUGUGUACUGUCUUUGUUUGCUUUGCCUUACGGUGAAUGCUUCUAUUUCCGAAUUUGUGUUUCUUCUCUUGAUAUUAUGUUCUUAUUGAUUAUUCAUAAUAGUAUGUUGUUAUGAGACUGCCUUAUUAAUUGGGUAAUUCAUUUGUGAAAUUUGAGUAUAUGAACAGCGAUGUGGUUGUUCUGUGCUUCUAGUGGUUUGAUUUUAUAUCUAUUAUUUUCGUACUGUAUGGGUGGCUUUCCUUUUAAAUGUACUGGAUUUCUUAAACCAACUUGAUUUACUGAAUGUUUUCUAUUUUUGUUCUAUAGAUUGAAAUCUUACCUUACUGAAGUACAAGUAUCGCUGGACCUAGACCAAGCAAGUUAGUUAUUUUCAAAUUUGUGUGUACUGGGUGGUGCUACUUCAUAGACAGUGUUGUAGGGGACUAGUCUCACUUGAUCAACCUAAUGCUAUUCGUACUACAAGCAAGACCAGGGAAUACCAGCAGCAAGUAAAACAUUGGAUAGUUCUGAUGCAUGUGUGACUGUUCUUUGUAUUAAACUUGCUACGUGGUGGCCAUGGGAUGAACAAGUCAAGCAAAGUUGUUGGAGAACGUGAUGCAGCUAAGACUGUUGAAACUGAUGCUAUUCCUGCUCUUCAGAAACUGCAGAAGAAGAAAGGAAGAGAACUACAAAAGAAAUAAAGGCAAGAAAGGCUGCAGAAUCUUUUAACAAAUUUUUAUGGUGCUGGAAUUACACGUUCCUGUCACAACCAUAGGCGUGUCAAUUAUAUAUUUGGUAUGGUGCAAAUAUUUGACAUUCACGUUUACUUAUGCAGUAUGCAGUCUGGUUUUUGCGAAAUCUAUUUCUCAGUUUUCUUCAUUAAUGAACUACACUUUCUCGAUUGCUUGAAAGGAAGCAUAUUUUGUGUGUCUGAAGCCAAGUCAUCAGAAAAUGAAAUUUGAAUAAUAUAACUUGAUUGAUGUGAGAUUAUCAAGUCGCCCUAAUCAAUCAAGUUUGCAGAGUCGCAGAAAAAGAGCUGUAUCAAAGCCAUAUGAAGUAGCACACUUGUUGCUGGUACAUUUCGAUAAGGAAAGCAUCUUUUUUGUGCUUCUCUACUGGUAGAUUGUCAUGCACCAUAUGCGGCAUGUUUUGGAACAAUAUAUGUGUGUGUCAGCUUUUUGAUGUCCCAAGUAGAUGGGCAUGCACUAGAAUGCUUUUCUUAUUUAAAAUUUUGGUUUCAAUGAUUGGGAAA